GAUCUCAGGAUGAACGCUAGCUACAGGCCUAACACAUGCAAGUCGAGGGGCAUCAUGAUGAUUGCUUGCAAUCGUUGAUGGCGACCGGCGCACGGGUGAGUAACGCGUAUCCAACCUACCCAUGACUAAGGGAUAACCCGUCGAAAGUCGGCCUAAGACCUUAUGUAAUCCGAAGCAGGCAUCUAAUUUGGAUGAAAGAUUAAUUGGUGAUGGAUGGGGAUGCGUCUGAUUAGCUUGUCGGUGAGGUAACGGCUCACCGAGGCAACGAUCAGUAGGGGUUCUGAGAGGAAGGUCCCCCACAUUGGAACUGAGACACGGUCCAAACUCCGGAGGCAGCAGUGAGGAAUAUUGGUCAAUGGACGAUAGUCUGAACCAGCCAAGUAGCGUGCAGGAUGACGGCCCUAUGGGUUGUAAACUGCUUUUAUGCGGGGAUAAAGAGGGACGUGUCCCUCAUUUGUACCGCAUGAAUAAGGACCGGCUAAUUCCGUGCCAGCAGCCGCGGUAAUACGGAAGGUCCAGGCGUUCCGGAUUUAUUGGGUUUAAAGGGAGCGUAGGCUGCCGUUUAAGCGUGUUGUGAAAUGUACCGGCUCAACCGGUGAUGUGCAGCGCGAACUGGAUGGCUUGAGUACGAAGAGGGAAUGCGGAACUCGUGGUGUAGCGGUGAAAUGCUUAGAUAUCACGAGGAACUCCGAUCGCGAAGGCAGCAUUCCGUUUCGUGACUGACGCUGAUGCUCGAAAGUGCGGGUAUCGAACAGGAUUAGAUACCCUGGUAGUCCGCACGGUAAACGAUGGAUGCUCGCUGUUGGAUAUUUUUAUUCAGUGGCUAAGUGAAAGCAUUAAGCAUCCCACCUGGGGAGUACGCCGGCAACGGUGAAACUCAAAGGAAUUGACGGGGGCCCGCACAAGCGGAGGAACAUGUGGUUUAAUUCGAUGAUACGCGAGGAACCUUACCCGGGCUUGAAUUGCAGAGGAAAGAUCCAGAGAUGGUGAUGCCCUUCGGGGUCUCUGUGAAGGUGCUGCAUGGUUGUCGUCAGCUCGUGCCGUGAGGUGUCGGCUUAAGUGCCAUAACGAGCGCAACCCUUUUCCUUAGUUGCCAUCGGUUCAAGCCGGGCACUCUGAGGAUACUGCCUCCGCAAGGAGUGAGGAAGGUGGGGAUGACGUCAAAUCAGCACGGCCCUUACGUCCGGGGCUACACACGUGUUACAAUGGCGCGUACAGAGAGCUGGGUUUGCGCAAGCACUCUCAAAUCUUUAAAACGCGUCUCAGUUCGGACCGGGGUCUGCAACCCGACCCCGCGAAGCUGGAUUCGCUAGUAAUCGCGCAUCAGCCAUGGCGCGGUGAAUACGUUCCCGGGCCUUGUACACACCGCCCGUCAAGCCAUGAAAGCCGGGGGCGCCUGAAGUCCGUGACCGCAAGGAUCGGCCUAGGGCGAGACCGGUGAUUGGGGCUAAGUCG
RNAcentral lists this ribosomal RNA (1455 nucleotides) under uncultured Prevotella sp. RNAcentral describes it as "bacterial SSU rRNA". It matches the Rfam family "Bacterial small subunit ribosomal RNA". The record is from RNAcentral. Lineage: Bacteria; Pseudomonadati; Bacteroidota; Bacteroidia; Bacteroidales; Prevotellaceae.